This 65-nucleotide transfer RNA is filed under the name Dipodomys ordii (Ord's kangaroo rat). It matches the Rfam family "tRNA". From Rfam's summary of the family: Transfer RNA (tRNA) molecules are approximately 80 nucleotides in length. The record is from Rfam by way of RNAcentral. Lineage: Eukaryota; Metazoa; Chordata; Mammalia; Rodentia; Heteromyidae.
GGUGGCUCAGUGGUAGAGUGCUUGCCUUGCACAUAAGAGGCCCUGGGUUCAAUUCCUCAGCACCA